Molecule: non-coding RNA, 305 nt
Filed under: Methyloprofundus sedimenti
Lineage: Bacteria; Pseudomonadati; Pseudomonadota; Gammaproteobacteria; Methylococcales; Methylococcaceae
Description: Rickettsia sRNA47
Rfam family: Rickettsia sRNA47
Source: Rfam by way of RNAcentral
ACCGCUCCGCCAUUGCCCGUAGGCAUAAUUGUCUGCACUGAGCCUUUACCAAAGGAUUUAGUUCCCAUAAUAAUUGCGCGUUUAUGAUCCUGUAAAGCACCGGCAACGAUUUCUGAGGCAGAAGCAGAACCCGCAUUAAUCAAAACAACAAUAGGCGCUCCAUCUAAUAAAUCACCAGGUGUUGCAUUAAAUUCCAUCUGCGAGUCUUUAAUACGUCCUUCUGUAUAAACGAUUUUACCUGAGUUUAAAAAAGCAUCACUGACUGACACUGCGCCAUCGAGAACUCCACCAGGAUUGUUGCGUAA